This 110-nucleotide transfer RNA is filed under the name Erythrobacter sp. NAP1. RNAcentral's name for it is "tRNA-Ala". Lineage: Bacteria; Pseudomonadati; Pseudomonadota; Alphaproteobacteria; Sphingomonadales; Erythrobacteraceae. The record is from RNAcentral.
CCGUUUCUGGGUCAGGUGCUGUUUUACCUUGGUGUUUGCAUCGCCGUUGGUGGCGCUGGUGCUGGAGUAGUCGUCUUCGCCGAACGCGGGAUCGACCUUCGCGGAGCGGC